RNAcentral lists this ribosomal RNA (407 nucleotides) under uncultured bacterium. RNAcentral's name for it is "partial 16S ribosomal RNA". It matches the Rfam family "Bacterial small subunit ribosomal RNA", at positions 28 to 526 of the family's 1533-position model. The record is from RNAcentral.
GACGAACGCUGGCGGCGUGCCUAAUACAUGCAAGUCGAACGCAGUUGCGAACGGGUGAGUAAAGCGUCUGUAACUUCCUCAUAGCGGGGGAUAACCAUUGGAAACGAUAGCUAAUACCGCAUACUGUGAGAUGGACCUGCUUAGUAUUAGGUAGUUGGUGAGGUUAAGGCUCACCAAGGCGACGUAACAUAGCCGGCCUGGGAGGGUGAUCCGCCAAACUGGGACUUGGGAAAGGCCCCGACUCCGACGGGGAGCAGCAAUAGGGAAUCUUCGGCAAUGGGCGGAAGUCUGGCCGAGCAACUCCGCGGGAGUGAAGAAGGUUUUCGGAGCGUAAAGCUCUGUUGUUAGAGAAGCGGUACCUAACCAGAAAGGAACGGCUAACUACGUGCCAGCAGCCGCGGUAAUUC